AGGGGCCUGUUGCACAAAAGUAGAAUUAAGACAUCCGGGAUAAAUGACUCAGCUGAGCUCAAUGAAGCCAAAACAUGUGCGUCCAGGCUUAAUUGGUUGCACAAAGACCAAGCCAGGAUGAGCAGACACGGAUUCAUUAAGCCAGGUGAAACCAAUCCUGGAUAGGUGCGCGCUCACGGCUCACUCAAAUAGACCCCGCCACAGAUCACAGAUUAACUGAUUUACCAUGGCAACUAGAGCCGCGUACUUUUCCCCGUCGGAAGCACAAAUCCUCAUGGAGGCAUACGAGGAGGUAAAAGAUAUAAUUAAGAAGAAAGGCAACACCGCCACAGUGAUAAAGCAAAGAGAAAAAGCGUGGCAAAGUAUUGCAGACCGCCUGAAUGCGUAAGUAGUGCACAAUUACACACUCACCACUCCGCUGAAACAUCACAAUUACAAUUCAAAUAUUUAAUUCACAUCUCCAAAAAUGCAGUUGUACUGUAAUUAUGAAACGGUUAAAUUUUUAAUUGAAAUGCACUGCAGAUAUGAGUGAAAUUGUGUAAAGUAACUCCAUCACACUGUAUAAAGCUAUGAUAAAUGUUUUGAUAUUUUUACUGAAAACAAGACAAAAAUACCAAGUAAUUUUUUGCAGUGUGACUCCAUUAAAUGUGUGUGUGUGUGUGUGUGUGUGUGUGUGUAGAUUAAACAUGAACGGGCCAAAACGGACAUGGCAGCAGGUCAAAAUCAAAUACAAGAACAUUCUGCAGAAUGCAGUGAAAAAGAAUACCCACAGACAAGGCACGGGUGGUGGGUCACCAAAGGCUGACCUUACCCCAGCAGAGGACAUGGCCUUGGAGCUAAAUAAAGGCAGGCCCGUCUUAGAGGGGAUCCCUGGGGGGAAAGAGACGAGCAUAGGUUCCUCCCAAGAUGCCACCCGCUUCAUUCAAGUGCCUGGCAGCACUGUGUUCCUGUUAGAGCCACCAGCACAAGCACCAGACGAUGCUGAUCCAGGUGAAGGCCCCAGUGCAGCAGCAACAGCACAUGAUGGAGACGAUGAUGAGGAGGAGACCAUCUCUCUGGAUUCCAGAAGGCAUGAGGACCCAGAUGCUAUACAGUGGGAAAACCAGCCUGGCAACAUAGUGCGUAUUAAUAAAAGGACACCACAUCCUGCCAAAUUCCAGCUGCGCUAAUUGUAUUGUGUUCACAGAGCUCACAAGCUAUCAGAAAGUUGUAUGGCAACCACCUCCGGCGCCAAAUAGAACUGGCAGACAUAGACAUUCAGUACAAGAAGAAAAAGAUGGAAAAUCUUGCACUGGAGUCCGAAAUAAGAGGACAAUUAGGAAACUGGACCUUGAAAUAAAAAAACUUGAGAGGGAGCUCCAAGAAGAUGACACAGCUCAAAAUAAAAAUUAGCAAUCAGUACAACCAAGUCAUCGUUAUAAGGCAUCGCCCUCUUUUGCCCACCCCCCCAGCACCAGGUGUGGCCACUAGCCUAUAUGAAGGCCCAAAAUUGUGUGUUCCUUUCUGCUCUGACAAUGGCAUGCCCAUUCGUGCGAGAUGUGGUGGAUGAAGAAGCACUUGUGCUGAGGAGAGCCUUCAGGCGAGAAAGGGUCUUCAGGGACCGGUUGGACCCACUGGCCUUCCCUGAUGACCAUCUAUAUGAAAGAUACAGGUUUUCUGCAGAUGGCAUCAGGUAUCUAUGCAGACUACUGGGUCCCAGGAUUAAGCACCGCACUGCACGGAGCCAUGCACUGAGUGUGGAGCAAAUGGUUUGUGUGGCCUUGCGCUUUUUGCUAGUGGAGCCUUCCUGUACUCAGUGGGGGAUGCAGAACAGCUGAACAAGGCCACAAUUUGCCGCACAAUAAGGAGUGUGUGUCUGGCUAUCAAAGCAUUAGCAGAUGUCUUCAUCUCCUUCCCUGGCCACAGAAGACUCUGUGACAUCAAAGAGGAGUUCUAUAGGAUUGCAGAUGGUCUGCAAUGCUGACUGUGUGAUCAGCAAUGUUGUGGCAAAAUGGCCUGGCUCAGUCCAUGACUCCAGAAUCUUUCGGGCC
Oncorhynchus nerka (sockeye salmon) is the source of this 2030-nucleotide long non-coding RNA. RefSeq lists it as uncharacterized. The record is from RefSeq and is a predicted model, not a curated record. Lineage: Eukaryota; Metazoa; Chordata; Actinopteri; Salmoniformes; Salmonidae. The transcript has 8 exons.